Molecule: ribosomal RNA, 253 nt
Filed under: uncultured bacterium
Lineage: Bacteria
Description: partial 16S ribosomal RNA
Rfam family: Bacterial small subunit ribosomal RNA
Source: RNAcentral
UACGUAGGGUGCAAGCGUUGUCCGGAAUUAUUGGGCGUAAAGAGCUCGUAGGCGGCCUGUUGCGUCCGCUGUGAAAGCCCGGGGCUUAACCCCGGGUCGGCAGUGGAUACGGGCAGGCUAGAGGUAGGUAGGGGAGAAUGGAAUUCCCGGUGUAGCGGUGAAAUGCGCAGAUAUCGGGAGGAACACCGGUGGCGAAGGCGGCAUCCUGGACCAACACUGACACUGAGGAGCGAAAGCCAGGGGAGCAAACGGG